This 336-nucleotide unclassified non-coding RNA is filed under the name soil metagenome. RNAcentral describes it as "partial contains 5.8S ribosomal RNA, internal transcribed spacer 2, and large subunit ribosomal RNA". The stretch from base 1 to 120 matches the Rfam family "5.8S ribosomal RNA", at positions 35 to 154 of the family's 154-position model. The record is from RNAcentral.
GAUGAAGAACGCAGUGAAAUGCGAUAAGUAGUGUGAAUUGCAGAAUUCAGUGAAUCAUCGAAUCUUUGAACGCACAUUGCGCCCCUUGGUAUUCCAUGGGGCAUGCCUGUUCGAGCGUCAUUUGUACCUUCAAGCUUUGCUUGGUGUUGGGUGUUUGUCUCGCCUUUGCGUGUAGACUCGCCUUAAAAUAAUUGGCAGCCGGCGUAUUGAUUUCGGAGCGCAGUACAUCUCGCGCUUUGCACUCAUAACGACAGCGUCCAAAAGUACAUUUUACACUCUUGACCUCGGAUCAGGUAGGGAUACCCGCUGAACUUAAGCAUAUCAAUAAGCGGAGGA